Long non-coding RNA from Oreochromis niloticus (Nile tilapia), 883 nucleotides. RefSeq lists it as uncharacterized. The transcript is spliced from 4 exons. The record is from RefSeq and is a predicted model, not a curated record. NCBI's taxonomy places the organism in Eukaryota, Metazoa, Chordata, Actinopteri, Cichliformes, Cichlidae.
CGUCAGAAGCAGUGGAGUCAGCAUUACUGCCUUUACUGGGCCUAAUUAUGUUAUUGGACUGAAAGCGAGACUGCGGGCAUUUGUUCAGCUGUCAGAGUCGGACAUUCAGGAGAGACUGGAAGAGUUCUUCAGACAACAUGGAUUACAGCCACAGGUUUUAUCCCUGAGGAACCUGAAGGUUAAACCAUGACACCAGAUGAGAAAAGUGCUUUAUACUUUACAUAUUUCCAAUUAAUUUCCUCAAACUGGAACAAAAAUUAAUUUGAUUGACCAUUUUUGAAGAUCUCCAUAUACAUAAUUGUGUGUAUUCUGUGUACUGAGCAGCAGCAGAGGUCAUUAACAAGUUAAAUGUUACCUUGACCUUUUGUUAAUCUUUGUUGCUCAGAAGUUGGUAACAGGUGUGCAAAUAAAUUAAAUACUGCGGGCAUUUAUGCUAUAUCAUUAUCUUUCUAAACCGAUGUGUUAUAUUUUUAUGAUAUCUAUUUGAACAAACAGAAUACUGUGUUAAUGUAACUCUGAGCACCCCUUGCUGGAAAUAAAAGGAAUUACAGUGGUAUUGCUUCUGUUGUAGGGCUGGAAAAGGAGAAUCAAUCUAGCUGAGAUCAUGUCUAAAGUCAAAUUCCUUAUCACUUCUUUUUUGUCAGUGCUGCCAUAUUUCUGAUGGCCACACAUUGUAAAUAAAUAUUGACAAGAUCACAGCAGAGGUGGACUUUUUUUUUUUUUUUGCUAUUUAUUUCUACAUAGUGUUUGGUUCUCUUAUCAUUUUUUGUCCUGGUGUCUGCUGCAUUUUUUCCUGAGUGCUCUGUUCUCCUGUCAUUGUCUGAAGGGCAGUCUGUCUUUGUUAGCUCUGCAAUAAACUGGUGAUCUGUCCAGAGUCUAGCAC